Molecule: long non-coding RNA, 2234 nt
Organism: Piliocolobus tephrosceles (Ugandan red Colobus)
Lineage: Eukaryota; Metazoa; Chordata; Mammalia; Primates; Cercopithecidae
Source: Ensembl
GUCCUAUGUCGGAUAUUGAUAAUAAUAAAGGUUGCACCGAAUUAAGGAAUACAUUACAUAUGCACUCGAAUAAUAGUAAUAGUGGUAUAACUAGCUAUAAUCAUAACAUAUCGUCUGAUAGUAGUUUUUAUGAAAAAAAAAAUAAAUCGCAAAAUUUUUUUUCUGAGUGUGAUUAUAUGCUUGAAAAUGAAAAUGCACGUAUAAACGCGGUCCCAAUUAUGCGAGAGUACGAAUAUAAAGGUAUUAAAAAUGAAAGAGGAAACACAAAAAAACAGAUAAAGCUGAAUAAUAGCGAUUAUAAUAAUUAUACAUUUUCUAAUCGUAGUAGCAGUAACGGUAGUAGUAAGAGUGACCACGAACAGAUGAAAGGUAAAAACAUUCCAACACAUAUUUUUUUAAAACAGGAAUACCUAAUUUACCAGUCUGAUAGACUUGCACUUAUACUUUUCAAUAUCAUUUGUAAAGAGUUUUUAAAAAAUGAUAAUAUGAAUAUUGUUAUUUUUAUGCCUACUGUUAAAAUGUUACAGUAUGUUUAUAUUAUUUUUAAGCAUUACAUAUUUAAGGGGUAUAUAUUUUUACUAUAUUUAAAAUGUAAUAAUAAUGAUUAUAUCAAAAAAAAUAUAUAUAAUUAUUUAAACAAAUAUGGUGAUUUUUAUGAUAAAAAAACUGUUAACUUUUCCGUUUCUUCAAAUCCUUUUAUUAUUAAAGAAGAUUGUUUAGCAAAAAAAAAUGAUAUCGACAAUGGUCACUUCGAAGAAGAGUAUAAACUAGAUGAACAUUUAUCAAACACGGAAGAAAAAAAAAAAAUAAAUAAAAUAAAAAACCAACCUAUUUCUGUCGAAGGUGAUAAGUGGGAGGAGAGUGAAGAGUUGGCAGAUAAGCCUGACACUGAAUUUUCUAACAUGGACCCAAAACAAGAGUGGAAAAAUUAUUAUGAACAAUUAAAAGACGUCAUGUUUUUAUGUUUUCACAGUAAACUAAGUUUAGAUAAAAAAAAAUAUACAUUAAACACAUUUAAUGAUGUUACAAAAAAAAAAAAAAAAAAAAUUUUAUUUUCUACAUCUUUAUUAUGUCAAGGUAUAAAUGUAGCUAAAGUUGAUUUAGUAAUACAAGUUGGUAUAUGUGGUGGUAACAUGGAUGAAUAUAUAUUAAGAACGAAUAUAGCUACAAAUAAAAAUACUGCAGGUAGAAGUUUAUUAUUGUUAAACGAGUUAGAAAGUCAUUAUUUAUUUAUGUUGUAUAAAAAUAAUAUCAUGAUUAGUAGUGUCAGCAAAAAUUAUUUAAAUAGUCUAUACGAUGACAAUCCCUUAUUAAAUAUGUUAUUAAAGUAUAAGAGGUUUAACACUAAUGAUUCGUGUAAUAAUUUUAAGGAUAAAAACGAAUUAGCCUGUGACGUGAUUGAAAGAAGUAGUGAAACAAUUUGUUAUGAACUGGUCAAUGGUAAGGGCUUGACUGAAAAUGGCAAACAGGACGAACCUGAUGGUAAACGGGAUGAAGAUAGCAAACGGGAUGAAGAUAGCAAACGGGAUGAAGAUAGCAAACGGGAUGAAGAUAGCAAACGGGAUGGAGAUAGCAAACGGGAUGGAGAUAGCAAACGGGAUGAACCUGAUGGAAAAAACUAUUACCACAACAGAAACCCCACAACAGUAAAUCCCAUAACCUUUAUAAAUCAUCCAAUUAAAAUUGCACAUAUUGAAUGGCAUAAACAUAAGCACAUGUUAGCAUCGUGUGAAUUAAUGUAUAGAUCGCUUUUAGGAUUUUACUGUGAAAGAAAUAAAAUUUUAAAAUAUGAAAAAUGGCAAGUCCCAAGCUUAAUUAAAAACAUAAUUUAUUCAUUUGGAUAUUUUGAAAAUUUUUAUAUCACAAAAUCUAUGGCUGCGAGGCUCCAAAUUAUAAAUUCACCUGACUUGUACAUAAAAUUUAAUGCUACGCCAAAAUCUGUUUUAAUUUCUGCUUUACCAUGUUAUAAAAGUUAUAAAUCACAAAUGAAUGAACUAAAGCUUAAAAAUAUGAACAACUCGGUCAACACUUUUACAAACCGAGAGACACCUUUUGACAAUGAAGAAAAAAAUGUUUUACCGGAUCAAAGCGACGAGUGCUUAAACAAUACAUCAUGUACAGAUAUGUUGUUGGAACAUUCAUCAGAUAGUAAACAACGCGAAAAGGCGAAACAUCCUUUAUAUUUUACCAUGUACAAAUAUUUAUCAUAAAUGUUUGGUCACACAGGUUAGCCA